UUCUUAUCAAGAGCAGGUGGAGGGACGAGCCCAAUGAAGCCCGGCAACCGACUUAACCAACGUUAAGCACGGUGCUAAUUCUUGCAGCAUUAUGCUGAGAGAUAAGAA
This is a regulatory RNA element of Anoxybacillus sp. B7M1, 108 nucleotides long. It matches the Rfam family "SAM riboswitch aptamer (S box leader)". From Rfam's summary of the family: The SAM riboswitch is found upstream of a number of genes which code for proteins involved in methionine or cysteine biosynthesis in Gram-positive bacteria. The SAM riboswitch acts at the level of transcription termination control. The predicted structure consists of a complex stem-loop region followed by a single stem loop terminator region. The record is from Rfam. NCBI's taxonomy places the organism in Bacteria, Bacillati, Bacillota, Bacilli, Caryophanales, Anoxybacillaceae.